UUGUGAUGAAACAUAAACUGAAAUAGCUGGAAUUACCGUCAGAUUGUUCAGUGGUGAUCAUAAGGUUUUCUGAAC
Non-coding RNA from Oryzias latipes (Japanese medaka), 75 nucleotides. Lineage: Eukaryota; Metazoa; Chordata; Actinopteri; Beloniformes; Adrianichthyidae. The record is from Rfam.